GUGAAUCAUCAAAUCUUUGAACGCAAAUUGCGCCUUUUUCGGAAGGCAUGUCUGUUUGAGGGCACCAUUUAACAAAUAAUGUGCAUGCUGUGUGUAUUUUUACGCACACGUACACACGUUGAUGAGCAUUUCCAAAAAAAGAAAAUUUUUUGGUGGAACGUAAUAAACAGCGUGAGCUUUACUCCAAUUUUUCCGGGCGUAGCAAAAUUUUUUUACGGCGCUUGGGUGUUU
Molecule: unclassified non-coding RNA, 231 nt
Filed under: Paraglomus occultum
Lineage: Eukaryota; Fungi; Glomeromycota; Glomeromycetes; Paraglomerales; Paraglomeraceae
Description: partial contains 5.8S ribosomal RNA and internal transcribed spacer 2
Rfam family: 5.8S ribosomal RNA (bases 1-65)
Source: RNAcentral